This 72-nucleotide transfer RNA is filed under the name Belgica antarctica. RNAcentral's name for it is "tRNA IU25_tRNA_57". It matches the Rfam family "tRNA". From Rfam's summary of the family: Transfer RNA (tRNA) molecules are approximately 80 nucleotides in length. Their secondary structure includes four short double-helical elements and three loops (D, anti-codon, and T loops). Further hydrogen bonds mediate the characteristic L-shaped molecular structure. tRNAs have two regions of fundamental functional importance: the anti-codon, which is responsible for specific mRNA codon recognition, and the 3' end, to which the tRNAs corresponding amino acid is attached (by aminoacyl-tRNA synthetases). tRNAs cope with the degeneracy of the genetic code in two manners: having more than one tRNA (with a specific anti-codon) for a particular amino acid; and 'wobble' base-pairing, i.e. permitting non-standard base-pairing at the 3rd anti-codon position. The record is from RNAcentral. Lineage: Eukaryota; Metazoa; Arthropoda; Insecta; Diptera; Chironomidae.
GGGGCAGUAGCUCAAUGGCAGAGUACCGUAGUUAUAAUUCGUUGUAUGCGAGUUCGAGUCUCGCCUGCUCCA